AAGGGUCCGCAGGCGGAUUUAUAAGUCAGUGGUGAAAUCCUAUCGCUUAACGAUAGAACUGCCAUUGAUACUGUAAGUCUUGAAUUCGGUCGGAGUGGGCGGAAUGUGUAGUGUAGCGGUGAAAUGCAUAGAUAUUACACAGAACACCGAUAGCGAAGGCAGCUCACUAGGCCUGAAUUGACGCUCAGGGACGAAAGCGUGGGGAUCAAACAGGAUUAGAUACCCCUUGU
This 230-nucleotide ribosomal RNA is filed under the name uncultured bacterium. RNAcentral describes it as "partial 16S ribosomal RNA". It matches the Rfam family "Bacterial small subunit ribosomal RNA", at positions 563 to 791 of the family's 1533-position model. The record is from RNAcentral.